GUCCCCUUCGGGGGACAGGGUGACAGGUGGUGCAUGGUUGUCGUCAGCUCGUGUCGUGAGAUGUUGGGUUAAGUCCCGCAACGAGCGCAACCCUCGACCUUAGUUGCCAGCAUUCAGUUGGGCACUCUAAGGUGACUGCCGGCUAAAAGUCGGAGGAAGGUGGGGAUGACGUCAAAUCAUCAUGCCCCUUAUGACCUGGGCUACACACGUGCUACAAUGGUUGGUACAACGAGUUGCGAGUCGGUGACGGCGAGCUAAUCUCUUAAAGCCAAUCUCAGUUCGGAUUGUAGGCUGCAACUCGCCUACAUGAAGUCGGAAUCGCUAGUAAUCGCGGAUCAGCACGCCGCGGUGAAUACGUUCCCGGGCCUU
This 369-nucleotide ribosomal RNA is filed under the name uncultured Streptococcus sp. Its description in RNAcentral is "bacterial SSU rRNA". It matches the Rfam family "Bacterial small subunit ribosomal RNA", at positions 1013 to 1382 of the family's 1533-position model. Lineage: Bacteria; Bacillati; Bacillota; Bacilli; Lactobacillales; Streptococcaceae. The record is from RNAcentral.